Molecule: ribosomal RNA, 450 nt
Filed under: uncultured bacterium
Lineage: Bacteria
Description: partial 16S ribosomal RNA
Rfam family: Bacterial small subunit ribosomal RNA
Source: RNAcentral
GUGGGGAAUCUUCCGCAAUGGACGAAAGUCUGACGGAGCAACGCCGCGUGAGUGAAGAAGGUUUUCGGAUCGUAAAGCUCUUUCGUUAGGGACGAACGUGCUCUUUGUGAAUAAUGAGGAGUAAUGGCGGUACCUAAAUAAGAAGCCACGGCUAACUACGUGCCAGCAGCCGCGGUAAUACGUAGGUGGCAAGCGUUGUCCGGAAUUAUUGGGCGUAAAGCGCGCGCAGGCGGGAUAUCAAGUCUGUCUUAAAAGUGCGAGGCUCAACCUCGUGAGGGGACAGAAACUGGUAUUCUUGAGUGUCGGAGAGGAAAGUGGAAUUCCAAGUGUAGCGGUGAAAUGCGUAGAGAUUUGGAAGAACACCAGUGGCGAAGGCGACUUUCUGGACGAUGUCUGACGCUGAGGCGCGAAAGCUAGGGGAGCGAACGGGAUUAGAUACCCCGGUAGUCC